Molecule: RNA transcript, 1561 nt
Organism: Erpetoichthys calabaricus (reedfish)
Lineage: Eukaryota; Metazoa; Chordata; Cladistia; Polypteriformes; Polypteridae
Gene name: NACHT, LRR and PYD domains-containing protein 1b allele 4-like
Exons: 4
Source: RefSeq, a predicted model, not a curated record
AAACAACAUGGAGGAUUCAGGAUUGGAUCAGCUGUGUGAGGGGCUGAGGAGUGAAAACUGCAAAUUAGAGAAACUGGGCCUGCACUCAUGUGGUCUCACCUCCAGAUGUUCCUCAUCUCUCUCCUCAGUCCUCUCUUCUCCACACUCACAGAUGACUGAACUGAACCUAAACUUCAACAAACUGGAAGAUUCAGGAGCUCAUCAGCUGUGUGAAGGUCUGCGGACCCCAAACUGUAAAUUAGAGAUACUGGAGCUGCUGUUUAAUGGGAUCAGUGAGAGUGAAAUGAUGAACCUGAGGUUACUACAGGAGGAGCUGAACAGGACUGGACGGCAGGUGAAUAUUAAUACAGAAGAAGACUGAACAUGUUGAUCAUCUGACCCCGGUGAUGGCACCCCCUGUCCAUUUCCUCUAAAUUCUUCUCUUUAUUCUUUUAUAAUCUCCUCAGCUGUCCUCCACAUUUAAUAAACUCUCCAUGUCUUCUUCACAGCCUGUGUGAUUCCUCUUUAAAGUCACUUGUGUUUCUCCACCCUGUGACCCUGAACUGGUAACCAAGCUCCACAAGUUCAGACCAGAGACAUCUGACUUUCAUCACCCAGAGAACCACAGUGAGAAUUGUCCUCUUAAACUAGCUGGGGUCACAAAGCCCACUGAGGGGAGCAGCAGGAGUAAACACGAGUGGACAUUCCAGUUGAAGGGUGAUGGAAAGUGAGGCCAAUCUUGGCAUUAGUGACAAAUUCUAGACAGGCACCGGGCUGUCACAGGUCAAGCUGAUGGCCACCUCAACAGAAAACUUAUAAGCCUACUGCUCCUCAACAUCAUGUGGUGUUGUUUGAACCUGUGUCUGUUUCACAGAAGAGCUACAAAGACAAAGAUGGUUAUAGAGACAGGAGAGAUGGGGGACAGAUGAGUACAGAAGAGGAGAGUCAAAUAGGACAGAGGGGGACAAUAAAUGGAGGAGAUAAGGAACAUUUAAAUGUGAAACCGUGGAAAAGCUGAGUUACAUUAGAAUGGAGAAGAGAGUUUGAUUUCCAAGGUCAGCAGCCUUGAUGGAGACAUGAUGGCCAUCUGCACCCUCUUCUGUGUUGAGAAGGCUGAAGAUCUUUGUGGACAGGAAGACUCUACUCUGCCUCAGUUGUGGUUCAAGGAGAUCCAUGAUGUGCCAGAAUAUUAAGAAGCGAAGAUGGAUAACAUCCUCAGCUAGAAAGAGGAGUAAAGUGAAUAAGAUAAUAAGAGUACAAGGAUGGAGAAGUGAGGAGGUGACAGUAAAUAUGACAGACAGUGAUGGCAGUGCAAACGUCAUCAGGAGUCAUAGAUUGUGGACUCUGAUUAUUUCAUUGAUGACUGAUGAGAAUGACGACAGUGUUGGACCACCAUAAUGAGAGGAUUUUAGGUAAAGCUUCCCUUCAAAAGAUGAUGCUGAUGGACACAAAUUAAAUGUCCAAUGUGAAGAGACUCAUUCUAGUUUGUCGAGGCUGUUAGUGUCAGUUUGACUACAAUGUUCACAGACCUGCUCCUCUUAACCCCUACAGGAUCCUCAUAUGCCAACUUUGGGUGGACUCC